CCUACGGGAGGCAGCAGUAAGGAAUAUUGGACAAUGGUCGCAAGACUGAUCCAGCCAUGCCGCGUGCAGGAUGACUGCCCUAUGGGUUGUAAACUGCUUUUGUACGGGAAUAAACCCCUCUACGUGUAGAGGGCUGAAUGUACCGUAAGAAUAAGGGUCGGCUAACUUCGUGCCAGCAGCCGCGGUAAGACGAAGGACCCAAGCGUUAUCCGGAUUCAUUGGGUUUAAAGGGUGCGUAGGCGGAUUGAUAAGUCAGUGGUGAAAGCCUGUUGCUUAACAACAGAACUGCCAUUGAUACUGUUGAUCUUGAAUAUGUUUGAUGUGGGCGGAAUAUGACAUGUAGCGGUGAAAUGCUUAGAUAUGUCAUAGAACACCGAUUGCGAAGGCAGCUCACAAAGCCAUUAUUGACGCUGAGGCACGAAAGCGUGGGGAUCAAACAGGAUUAGAUACCCUGGUAGUCCACGCUGUAAACUUUGAUCACUCGCUGUUGGCGAUACACAGUCAGCGGCUAAGCGAAAGCGUUAAGUGAUCCACCCUGGGGAGUACGAUCGCAAGAUUGAAACUUCAAAGGAAUUGACGGGCUUGGAGACGNGCGAGCGANACGAGGGAGAGG
This 613-nucleotide ribosomal RNA is filed under the name uncultured bacterium. RNAcentral's name for it is "bacterial SSU rRNA". It matches the Rfam family "Bacterial small subunit ribosomal RNA", at positions 338 to 950 of the family's 1533-position model. The record is from RNAcentral.